AUGGCGUUCCCGCGGAGGGACAGGGCGGCGGAUUCGAGGAUGGGCGCGGCAGGUGGAGCUCUGUCCUCCUUUGUCCUCUCCCAUCGAGCGCUGUAUCGAAGAAGCAUCAGCUCCCCCACCUCCAUCAUGUCUGCUCUCCUACAUCGGCCACACCACGCCGCGCUCGUGGAGCGGAGUCGCAGAAGCACGAAGCCGACUACGGUGGAGUGA
This 210-nucleotide ribosomal RNA is filed under the name Triticum aestivum (bread wheat). RNAcentral describes it as "partial small subunit ribosomal RNA". The record is from RNAcentral. Lineage: Eukaryota; Viridiplantae; Streptophyta; Magnoliopsida; Poales; Poaceae.